UCCUUGUCGGGUAAGUUCCGACCUGCACGAAUGGCGUAACGACUUCCCCGCUGUCUCCAACAUCGACUCAGCGAAAUUGAAUUGCCUGUCAAGAUGCAGGCUUCCCGCGGUUAGACGGAAAGAGCCCGUGCACCUUUACUACAGCUUCGCACUGGCAUCAGGAUUGUGACGUGCAGGAUAGGUGGUAGGCAUCGAAACCGAGACGCUAGUCUCGGUGGAGCCUCCCUUGAGAUACCACCCUUCGCACUCUUGAUGUCUAACCGCGGUCCGUUAUCCGGAUCCGGGACCCUGUGUGGUGGGUAGUUUGACUGGGGCGGUCUCCUCCUAAAGAGUAACGGAUGAGUACGAAGGU
RNAcentral lists this ribosomal RNA (352 nucleotides) under Pseudopedinella elastica. Its description in RNAcentral is "partial Bacterial large subunit ribosomal RNA". It matches the Rfam family "Bacterial large subunit ribosomal RNA", at positions 1966 to 2317 of the family's 2925-position model. The record is from RNAcentral. Lineage: Eukaryota; Dictyochophyceae; Pedinellales.